CUUCUUCUCCGGAAGCCCUCAUUUAUUUUAUCUGAAAGUUUCCUAAAGCAGCGGGCGUUUCUUUCAUUUCCCGGACCACAGCGCUGGUUGAACGUGCCUCAUGCGCCACCUUUUGGACUCGGAGAGAAAAAACACCUGCAGGUGCGAUUCAUCCUUCAAAAUCAGAUGUUUGGAAACGAGAAUCAGUCAGCGCACUUUGGGCCUUGUGAUUUUUGAAGUGCAAAGAUUUACGACCGACACCUACUCACAGGUUCCAGGGGCCAGAUAAUAAUCCAGAUUCAUACAAGUGACCAACCUGCC
Molecule: long non-coding RNA, 300 nt
Organism: Xiphophorus maculatus (southern platyfish)
Lineage: Eukaryota; Metazoa; Chordata; Actinopteri; Cyprinodontiformes; Poeciliidae
Exons: 3
Source: RefSeq, a predicted model, not a curated record